RNAcentral lists this long non-coding RNA (210 nucleotides) under Rattus norvegicus (Norway rat). RNAcentral describes it as "long non-coding RNA NONRATT010289". Lineage: Eukaryota; Metazoa; Chordata; Mammalia; Rodentia; Muridae. The record is from RNAcentral.
GAAAUGGAGACACUGAAGUCAGGGUAAUGGCUCAUACCUGUCAUCCUGUUGUGUGGAGGCAGAGGCUGCACAGUGAACUCCAGCCUGCACUGUCCCUCAGGAAGGACGAAGUCAUCCGGAAGCGUCUUCUGAUAGAUGGAGACGGUGCUGGAGAUGAUCGGAGAAUUAAUCUCCUAGUGAAAAGCUUCAUUAAAUGGUGUAACUCUGGAU